AAGUCGUAACAAGGUUUCCGUAGGUGAACCUGCGGAAGGAUCAUUAUCGAAUCUUUCUACGUGAGUUGUAGCUGGCCCUGUAGUGGGGCAUGUGCACGCUCCGUGAAACCAUCUCUAUACACCCCUGUGCACCUUUUGUAGGGUCGGCGCGUCAGCGUGAGCGUGCGCCUUCCUUAUGUAUAUCAUAAACUCUUACGAAUGUCUCAGAAUGUCUUUGCGUGUAACAACGUAUCUUAUACAACUUUCAGCAACGGAUCUCUUGGCUCUC
RNAcentral lists this unclassified non-coding RNA (268 nucleotides) under air metagenome. RNAcentral's name for it is "partial contains small subunit ribosomal RNA, internal transcribed spacer 1, and 5.8S ribosomal RNA". The stretch from base 1 to 46 matches the Rfam family "Eukaryotic small subunit ribosomal RNA", at positions 1786 to 1831 of the family's 1831-position model. The record is from RNAcentral.